GGCUCUGUGGUCUAAAGGCAAGGACACCGCCAUUUCACGGCGGUAAACAGGGGUUCAAAUUCCAUACAGGUCA
This 73-nucleotide transfer RNA is filed under the name Siphoviridae sp. ctRuT6. Its description in RNAcentral is "tRNA-Glu". It matches the Rfam family "tRNA". From Rfam's summary of the family: Transfer RNA (tRNA) molecules are approximately 80 nucleotides in length. Their secondary structure includes four short double-helical elements and three loops (D, anti-codon, and T loops). Further hydrogen bonds mediate the characteristic L-shaped molecular structure. tRNAs have two regions of fundamental functional importance: the anti-codon, which is responsible for specific mRNA codon recognition, and the 3' end, to which the tRNAs corresponding amino acid is attached (by aminoacyl-tRNA synthetases). tRNAs cope with the degeneracy of the genetic code in two manners: having more than one tRNA (with a specific anti-codon) for a particular amino acid; and 'wobble' base-pairing, i.e. permitting non-standard base-pairing at the 3rd anti-codon position. Lineage: Duplodnaviria; Heunggongvirae; Uroviricota; Caudoviricetes. The record is from RNAcentral. RNAcentral also lists the same sequence under 1 other name.